CAAUAGCGUAUAUUUAAGUUGUUGCAGUUAAAAAGCUCGUAGUUGGAUUUCGGGUGGGUACCGCCGGUCUCCCAUUGGGUAUGUACUGGCGUGGCCCGCCUUGCUGUCGGGGACGGUCUCCUGGGCUUAAUUGCUCGGGAAUCGGAGUCGACGAUGUUACUUUGAGUAAAUUAGAGUGUUCAAAGCAAGCCUACGCUCUGAAUAUGAUAGCAUGGGAUAACACGACAGGACUCUGGCCUAUCGUGUUGGUCUGUAGGACCGGAGUAAUGAUUAAGAGGGACAGUCGGGGGCAUUCGUAUUCCAUUGUCAGAGGUGAAAUUCUUGGAUUUAUGGAAGACGAACAUCUGCGAAAGCAUUUGCCAAGGAUGUUUUCAUUG
Molecule: ribosomal RNA, 377 nt
Filed under: uncultured eukaryote
Lineage: Eukaryota
Description: partial 18S ribosomal RNA
Rfam family: Eukaryotic small subunit ribosomal RNA
Source: RNAcentral